This 247-nucleotide ribosomal RNA is filed under the name uncultured bacterium. RNAcentral describes it as "partial 16S ribosomal RNA". It matches the Rfam family "Bacterial small subunit ribosomal RNA", at positions 523 to 769 of the family's 1533-position model. The record is from RNAcentral.
AUACGUAGGUGGCAAGCGUUGUCCGGAUUUACUGGGUGUAAAGGGCGUGUAGGCGGAUAUGCAAGUCAGGCGUGAAAACUAUGGGCUUAACCCAUAGCCUGCGUUUGAAACUGUGUAUCUUGAGUAUCGGAGAGGCAGGCGGAAUUCCUCGUGUAGCGGUGAAAUGCGUAGAUAUGAGGAGGAACACCAGUGGCGAAGGCGGCCUGCUGGACGACAACUGACGCUGAGGCGCGAAAGCGUGGGGAGC